GAUGAACGCUGGCGGCGUGCCUAAUACAUGCAAGUCGAGCGAACAGACGAGGAGCUUGCUCCUCUGACGUUAGCGGCGGACGGGUGAGUAACACGUGGAUAACCUACCUAUAAGACUGGGAUAACUUCGGGAAACCGGAGCUAAUACCGGAUAAUAUAUUGAACCGCAUGGUUCAAUAGUGAAAUACGGUUUUUCUGUCACUUAUAGAUGGAUCCGCGCCGCAUUAGCUAGUUGGUAAGGUAACGGCUUACCAAGGCAACGAUGCGUAGCCGACCUGAGAGGGUGAUCGGCCACACUGGAACUGAGACACGGUCCAGACUCCUACGGGAGGCAGCAGUAGGGAAUCUUCCGCAAUGGGCGAAAGCCUGACGGAGCAAAGCCGCGUGAGUGAUGAAGGUCUUCGGAUCGUAAAACUCUGUUAUUAGGGAAGAACAAAUGUGUAAGUAACUAUGCACGUCUUGACGGUACCUAAUCAGAAAGCCACGGCUAACUACGUG
RNAcentral lists this ribosomal RNA (497 nucleotides) under uncultured bacterium. RNAcentral describes it as "partial 16S ribosomal RNA". It matches the Rfam family "Bacterial small subunit ribosomal RNA", at positions 28 to 507 of the family's 1533-position model. The record is from RNAcentral.